CCUGGGGAAAGGGAAGAGGGCUUUGUUCCUUCUUUCACAUCUCUAUUACUCUGUGUGUGCUGCUAUGCAGUGAUGCUUGGACACUGCCUCAGUUGCUGUGGGGUGUGUUUUGCCCGUUUCUGACUGGUAGGAGUGCAGGACAGAAGCAAGGCAACGGCACUGAGCUCUGCCCCAAGCUGGAACCAGCCCAGAGGCAGCAGGAAGGUGGAGGAGGAGAUGGAGGAUGAGCAGUGGUCUGCCCAUUACUGUGGGGCUGUGCUCUGCAGCACCCAGCAACGCUCAGAACUGAUGCAUUAAAAACACCUUCAAAAAGCAGCUCUUUAAUGGGAGAGAUGCGCUUGCCGAGAGCUGGCUGCUUUCAGAAACUGCGGUGAGCUUCAAUGCAACAGCACAGCGUGAUUGAAGGAGGGGGAGCAGUGACGAUGGGAUUAGGUA
This 435-nucleotide long non-coding RNA is filed under the name Gallus gallus (chicken). RNAcentral describes it as "long non-coding RNA NONGGAT008079". Lineage: Eukaryota; Metazoa; Chordata; Aves; Galliformes; Phasianidae. The record is from RNAcentral.